CCUACGGGUGGCAGCAGUGAGGAAUAUUUGUCAAUGGACGAGAGUCUGAACCAGCCAAGUAGCGUGAAGGAUGACUGCUCUAUGGGUUGUAAACUUCUUUUAUAUGGGAAUAAAUUGUUCCACGUGUGGGAUUUUGUAUGUACCAUAUGAAUAAGGAUCGGCUAACUCCGUGCCAGCAGCCGCGGUAAUACGGAGGAUCCGAGCGUUAUCCGGAUUUAUUGGGUUUAAAGGGAGCGUAGGUGGAUUGUUAAGUCAGUUGUGAAAGUUUGCGGCUCAACCGUAAAAUUGCAGUUGAAACUGGCAGUCUUGAGUACAGUAGAGGUGAGCGGAAUUCGUGGUGUAGCGGUGAAAUGCUUAGAUAUCACGAAGAACUCUGAUUGCGAAGGCAGUUCACUGGACUGCAACUGACACUGAGGCUCGAAAGUGUGGGUAUCAAACAGGAUUAGAUACCCGAGUAGUC
Molecule: ribosomal RNA, 460 nt
Filed under: uncultured bacterium
Lineage: Bacteria
Description: partial 16S ribosomal RNA
Rfam family: Bacterial small subunit ribosomal RNA
Source: RNAcentral